Molecule: ribosomal RNA, 292 nt
Filed under: uncultured bacterium
Lineage: Bacteria
Description: partial 16S ribosomal RNA
Rfam family: Bacterial small subunit ribosomal RNA
Source: RNAcentral
GUGCCAGCCGCCGCGGUAAGACAGAGGUCCCGAGCGUUAGGCGGAAUCACUGGGCUUAAAGCGUGUGUAGGCGGAUCUGUAAGUACCUUGUGAAAUCCCACGGCUUAACCGUGGAACUGCUUGGUAUACUGCGGAUCUUGAGCCACUUAGGGGCUACCGGAACAAAUGGUGGAGCGGUGAAAUGCGUAGAUAUCAUUUGGAACGCCAAUGGUGAAAACAGGUAGCUGGGAGUGUGCUGACGCUGAGACACGAAAGCCAGGGGAGCGAACGGGAUUAGAAACCCUUGUAGUCC